GGGACAGAGCUCAGUGGUAGACAGCUUGCCUAGCAUGCAUGAGGCCCUGAGUUCAACUCCCAGAGUCACA
This 70-nucleotide transfer RNA is filed under the name Marmota monax (woodchuck). RNAcentral describes it as "tRNA.Ala". Lineage: Eukaryota; Metazoa; Chordata; Mammalia; Rodentia; Sciuridae. The record is from RNAcentral.